This 1593-nucleotide ribosomal RNA is filed under the name Salmonella enterica. RNAcentral describes it as "partial 23S ribosomal RNA". It matches the Rfam family "Bacterial large subunit ribosomal RNA", at positions 1243 to 2819 of the family's 2925-position model. The record is from RNAcentral. Lineage: Bacteria; Pseudomonadati; Pseudomonadota; Gammaproteobacteria; Enterobacterales; Enterobacteriaceae.
UAAGCCUGCGAAGGUGGCCUGUGAGGGUUGCUGGAGGUAUCAGAAGUGCGAAUGCUGACAUAAGUAACGAUAAAGCGGGUGAAAAGCCCGCUCGCCGGAAGACCAAGGGUUCCUGUCCAACGUUAAUCGGGGCAGGGUGAGUCGACCCCUAAGGCGAGGCCGAAAGGCGUAGUCGAUGGGAAACGGGUUAAUAUUCCCGUACUUGGUGUUACUGCGAAGGGGGGACGGAGAAGGCUAUGUUGGCCGGGCGACGGUUGUCCCGGUUUAAGCGUGUAGGUGUGUGUUCCAGGUAAAUCCGGUUCACUUUAACACUGAGGCGUGACGACGAGGCACUACGGUGCUGAAGCAACAAAUGCCCUGCUUCCAGGAAAAGCCUCUAAGCAUCAGGUAACAUCAAAUCGUACCCCAAACCGACACAGGUGGUCAGGUAGAGAAUACCAAGGCGCUUGAGAGAACUCGGGUGAAGGAACUAGGCAAAAUGGUGCCGUAACUUCGGGAGAAGGCACGCUGACACGUAGGUGAAGUGAUUUACUCACGGAGCUGAAGUCAGUCGAAGAUACCAGCUGGCUGCAACUGUUUAUUAAAAACACAGCACUGUGCAAACACGAAAGUGGACGUAUACGGUGUGACGCCUGCCCGGUGCCGGAAGGUUAAUUGAUGGGGUCAGCGCAAGCGAAGCUCCUGAUCGAAGCCCCGGUAAACGGCGGCCGUAACUAUAACGGUCCUAAGGUAGCGAAAUUCCUUGUCGGGUAAGUUCCGACCUGCACGAAUGGCGUAAUGAUGGCCAGGCUGUCUCCACCCGAGACUCAGUGAAAUUGAACUCGCUGUGAAGAUGCAGUGUACCCGCGGCAAGACGGAAAGACCCCGUGAACCUUUACUAUAGCUUGACACUGAACAUUGAGCCUUGAUGUGUAGGAUAGGUGGGAGGCUUUGAAGUGUGGACGCCAGUCUGCAUGGAGCCGACCUUGAAAUACCACCCUUUAAUGUUUGAUGUUCUAACGUGGACCCGUGAUCCGGGUUGCGGACAGUGUCUGGUGGGUAGUUUGACUGGGGCGGUCUCCUCCUAAAGAGUAACGGAGGAGCACGAAGGUUGGCUAAUCCUGGUCGGACAUCAGGAGGUUAGUGCAAUGGCAUAAGCCAGCUUGACUGCGAGCGUGACGGCGCGAGCAGGUGCGAAAGCAGGUCAUAGUGAUCCGGUGGUUCUGAAUGGAAGGGCCAUCGCUCAACGGAUAAAAGGUACUCCGGGGAUAACAGGCUGAUACCGCCCAAGAGUUCAUAUCGACGGCGGUGUUUGGCACCUCGAUGUCGGCUCAUCACAUCCUGGGGCUGAAGUAGGUCCCAAGGGUAUGGCUGUUCGCCAUUUAAAGUGGUACGCGAGCUGGGUUUAGAACGUCGUGAGACAGUUCGGUCCCUAUCUGCCGUGGGCGCUGGAGAACUGAGGGGGGCUGCUCCUAGUACGAGAGGACCGGAGUGGACGCAUCACUGGUGUUCGGGUUGUCAUGCCAAUGGCACUGCCCGGUAGCUAAAUGCGGAAGAGAUAAGUGCUGAAAGCAUCUAAGCACGAAACUUGCCCCGAGAUGAGUUCUCCCUGAG